Molecule: long non-coding RNA, 907 nt
Organism: Oncorhynchus tshawytscha (Chinook salmon)
Lineage: Eukaryota; Metazoa; Chordata; Actinopteri; Salmoniformes; Salmonidae
Source: Ensembl
CGACCCUCUGACUACCACUACCUCUGACUACCACUACCCUUUACCACGACCCUCUCAUUACCACUACUUGCUGACUACCACUACUUGCUGACUACCACGACCCUCUGACUACCACUACCUCUGUACUAGUUUAACCCGUUAGUCAGAGUGCUGUACUAGUUUAACCCGUUAGUCAGAGUGCUGUACUAGUUUAACUAGUUUAAGUGAUAUCACCCGUUAGUCAGAGUGAUCUACCCGUUAGUCAGAGUGCUGUACUAGUUUAACUAGUUUAAGUGAUAUCACCCGUUAGUGAGAGUGCUGUGCUAGUUUUACUAGUUUAAAUGAUAUCACUGGUUAGUCAGAGUGCUGUACUAGUUAAACUAGUAUCACCCGUUAGUCAGAGUGCUGUACUAGUUUAACCCGUUAUUAGUAGUGCUGUACUAGUUUAACCCAUUAGUCAGAGUGCUGUACUAUGAUCACCCGUUAGUCAGAGUGCUGUACUAGUUUAACUAGUUUAACUGGUAUCACCCGUUAGUCAGAGUGCUGUACUAGUUUAACUAGUUUAACUAGUAUCACCCGUUAGUCAGUGAUCUACCCGUUAGUCAGAGUGCUGUACUAAUUUAAGUGAUGGUUGGUCGUAGUUCUCCAACCUGUAAACUGUAAAGGGAACAGAUCACAUGUUAAUGGUUGAAUAUUUACCCAUGUGGUCAUUUGGUCUGUUCGGUCAUCAGUUUGGAAGCCUUUCUUUCGGCCUCUGGAAGUAACGUGUGAUAUGAAAUACGUAGUUUUCAAACAAUAUGCCGUAAUAUAGAAAUACCUAACAGCCAAUCUGCUUGCUCCUAUCCCUUGACAUGUUCUUCCUGUCAGAUGGAUUAUAGAAGCUGUACUGUAUUGCUGCCAUUAAGUUACUGUACAUUUUACAGGAAAU